GACAGAGGUCCCAAGCGUUAGGCGGAAUCACUGGGCUUAAAGCGUGUGUAGGCGGACUUGUAAGUACCUUGUGAAAUCCCACGGCUCAACCGUGGAACUGCUGGGUAUACUGCGAGUCUUGAGCCACCUAGGGGCGAGCGGAACAAGUGGUGGAGCGGUGAAAUGCGUAGAUAUCACUUGGAACGCCAAUGGUGAAAACAGCUCGCUGGGGGUGUGCUGACGCUGAGACACGAAAGCCAGGGGAGCAAACGGG
This 253-nucleotide ribosomal RNA is filed under the name uncultured bacterium. Its description in RNAcentral is "partial 16S ribosomal RNA". It matches the Rfam family "Bacterial small subunit ribosomal RNA", at positions 524 to 776 of the family's 1533-position model. The record is from RNAcentral. RNAcentral also lists the same sequence under 1 other name.